RNAcentral lists this ribosomal RNA (484 nucleotides) under uncultured bacterium. RNAcentral describes it as "partial 16S ribosomal RNA". It matches the Rfam family "Bacterial small subunit ribosomal RNA", at positions 30 to 507 of the family's 1533-position model. The record is from RNAcentral.
AUUGAACGCUGGCGGCAGGCCUAACACAUGCAAGUCGAGCGGAUGAAGGGAGCUUGCUCCUGGAUUCAGCGGCGGACGGGUGAGUAAUGCCUAGGAAUCUGCCUGGUCUUGGUGGAUAACGUCCGGAAACGGGCGCUAAUACCGCAUACGUCCUGAGGGAGAAAGUGGUGGAUCUUCUGACCUCACGCUAUCAGAUGAGCCUAGGUCGGAUUAGCUAGUUGGUGGGGUAAAGGCCUACCAAGGCGACGAUCCGUAACUGGUCUGAGAGGAUGAUCAGUCACACUGGAACUGAGACACGGUCCAGACUACUAAGGGAGGCAGCAGUGGGGAAUAUUGGACAAUGGGCGAAAGCCUGAUCCAGCCAUGCAGCGUGUGUGAAGAAGGUCUUCGGAUUGUAAAGCACUUUAAGUUGGGAGGAAGGGCAGUAAGUUAAUAACUUGCUGUUUUGACGGUACCAACAGAAUAAGCACCGGCUAACUUCGUG